RNAcentral lists this long non-coding RNA (237 nucleotides) under Lathyrus oleraceus (garden pea). RNAcentral describes it as "Pisum sativum (pea) long non-coding RNA (PSAT_LNC026141)". The record is from RNAcentral. Lineage: Eukaryota; Viridiplantae; Streptophyta; Magnoliopsida; Fabales; Fabaceae.
AUUGAGUUACCUCAAGCAUAUGUACCAAACCUUUACAAUCAAGGAAACAAUCAAAACAGGUACAACAUUCGUGAUCUAUCCACUAACAAAUACCAUCUUAAUUGGAGGAACCAUCCAAACCUUCGAUAUGAAAAUCAACAGCCCACCUAACAACAGUUAAUGUUACCAUUACCACCACCACAAAACCCUUUCCAAGUAACCACAUUUGCACCUUCUAGACCUUCACUUGAGGAUUUU